RNAcentral lists this ribosomal RNA (859 nucleotides) under uncultured Neocallimastigales. RNAcentral's name for it is "partial large subunit ribosomal RNA". It matches the Rfam family "Eukaryotic large subunit ribosomal RNA", at positions 1 to 616 of the family's 3401-position model. The record is from RNAcentral. Lineage: Eukaryota; Fungi; Neocallimastigomycota; Neocallimastigomycetes; Neocallimastigales.
GUACACGCUGUGACUAGCAUAUCAAUAAGCGGAGGAAAAGGAGUAUACCUACGCUUAGGAUGUUGACGAGACUGUCGAUCUCAUCUAUACAUGACUCUGUGCAUAUCAAUAAGCGGAGGAAAAGAAACUAACAAGGAUUCCCCUAGUAACGGCGAGUGAAGUGGGAAGAGCUCAAAUUUGAAAUCUUAAAGGGUUUCCCUUUACGAAUUGUAGUUUAAAGAAGUGUUUUCUGUUGAGGUUUUGGUAAAAGUUCUUUGGAAUAGGACAUCAUAGAGGGUGAGAAUCCCGUAUUUGACCUUUACUUUCAACUUUGUGAUACACUUUCAAAGAGUCGGAUUGUUUGGGAAUGCAGUCCAAAAUGGGUGGUAAAUUUCAUCCUAAAGCUAAAUAUUGGCGAGAGACCGAUAGCGAACAAGUACCGUGAGGGAAAGAUGAAAAGAACUUUGAAAAGAGAGUUAAACAGUACGUGAAAUUGUCAAAAGGGAAGCGUUUGACACCAGUGUUGUUUUUCUGAAAAUCAAUUAAAGAACUGUUUAUGCUAAGUUGUUUAGACUUUAUCAGCUAACUGUUUAGUUUUGAGCUUUUCUUUAAUGCACUUUUCAGUUAACAAGUCAACAUCAAUUUCUUUUGCUGUAAAAAAGCUUGAGGAAGGUGGCUUGAGAUUCGUCUUAAGUGUUUAUAGCCUCUUGCCUAUGCAGUCGGAGAGAUUGAGGUCUGCAGCGUAGAUCCUUCGGGGCUAAAUGCAUUUGUGCUAAGUUAUAGCAUUUUAUAGACAACUUGUUGACUAUGAUUUGUCUUGUAGCUUACUCGCUUAUGUUAUUUUACCUACGCUUAGGAUGUUGAGCGCAUGUCUCUCUCU